This 497-nucleotide ribosomal RNA is filed under the name uncultured bacterium. RNAcentral describes it as "partial 16S ribosomal RNA". It matches the Rfam family "Bacterial small subunit ribosomal RNA", at positions 28 to 507 of the family's 1533-position model. The record is from RNAcentral.
GAUGAACGCUGGCGGCGUGCCUAAUACAUGCAAGUCGAGCGAACGGACGAGAAGCUUGCUUCUCUGAUGUUAGCGGCGGACGGGUGAGUAACACGUGGAUAACCUACCUAUAAGACUGGGAUAACUUCGGGAAACCGUAGCUAAUACCGGAUAAUAUUUUGAACCGCAUGGUUCAAAAGUGAAAGACGGUCUUGCUGUCACUUAUAGAUGGAUCCGCGCUGCAUUAGCUAGUUGGUAAGGUAACGGCUUACCAAGGCAACGAUGCAUAGCCGACCUGAGAGGGUGAUCGGCCACCCUGGAACUGAGACACGGUCCAGACGCCUACGGGAGGCAGCAGUAGGGAAUCUUCCGCAAUGGGCGAAAGCCUGACGGAGCAGCGCCGCGUGAGUGAUGAAGGUCUUCGGAUCGUAAAACUCUGUUAUUAGGGAAGAACAUAUGUGUAAGUAACUGUGCACAUCUUGACGGUACCUAAUCAGAAAGCCACGGCUAACUACGUG